GCCUUCGUGGUGUAGUGGUCAGCCUGCUGGACGCGUAUUUCAGAGGUGCGUGGUUCAAGUCCCGGCGAAGGCG
RNAcentral lists this transfer RNA (73 nucleotides) under Stegodyphus mimosarum. It matches the Rfam family "tRNA". Rfam says of the family: Transfer RNA (tRNA) molecules are approximately 80 nucleotides in length. Their secondary structure includes four short double-helical elements and three loops (D, anti-codon, and T loops). Further hydrogen bonds mediate the characteristic L-shaped molecular structure. tRNAs have two regions of fundamental functional importance: the anti-codon, which is responsible for specific mRNA codon recognition, and the 3' end, to which the tRNAs corresponding amino acid is attached (by aminoacyl-tRNA synthetases). tRNAs cope with the degeneracy of the genetic code in two manners: having more than one tRNA (with a specific anti-codon) for a particular amino acid; and 'wobble' base-pairing, i.e. permitting non-standard base-pairing at the 3rd anti-codon position. Lineage: Eukaryota; Metazoa; Arthropoda; Arachnida; Araneae; Eresidae. The record is from Rfam by way of RNAcentral.